CACAUGCAAGUCGAGCGCCCCGCAAGGGGAGCGGCAGACGGGUGAGUAACGCGUGGGAAUCUACCCAUCCCUACGGAACAACUCCGGGAAACUGGAGCUAAUACCGUAUACGCCCUUCGGGGGAAAGAUUUAUCGGGGAUGGAUGAGCCCGCGUUGGAUUAGCUAGUUGGUGGGGUAAAGGCCUACCAAGGCGACGAUCCAUAGCUGGUCUGAGAGGAUGAUCAGCCACAUUGGGACUGAGACACGGCCCAAACUCCUACGGGAGGCAGCAGUGGGGAAUAUUGGACAAUGGGCGCAAGCCUGAUCCAGCCAUGCCGCGUGAGUGAUGAAGGCCUUAGGGUUGUAAAGCUCUUUCA
This 356-nucleotide ribosomal RNA is filed under the name uncultured bacterium. RNAcentral's name for it is "bacterial SSU rRNA". It matches the Rfam family "Bacterial small subunit ribosomal RNA", at positions 52 to 438 of the family's 1533-position model. The record is from RNAcentral.